AUACGGAGGAUCCGAGCGUUAUCCGGAUUUAUUGGGUUUAAAGGGUGCGCAGGCGGCCAUUUAAGUCAGCGGUUAAAUCGUGGGGCUCAACCCCAUUCUGCCGUUGAUACUGGGUGGCUUGAUUGCGGUCGAGGUUGGCGGAAUUCGUUGUGUAGCGGUGAAAUGCAUAGAUAUGACGAAGAACACCGAUUGCGUAGGCAGCUGACCAGACCGCAAAUGACGCUCAUGCACGAAAGUGCGGGGAUCGAACAGGAUUAGAUACCCUGGUAGUCCGCACAGUAAACGAUGAAUACGUGUUUUCGGCGAUAUAAUGUCGGAGGCAAAGCGAAAGCGAUAAGUAUUCCAUCUGGGGAGUACGCCGGCAACGGUGAAACUUAAAGGAAUUGACGGGG
Molecule: ribosomal RNA, 392 nt
Filed under: uncultured bacterium
Lineage: Bacteria
Description: partial 16S ribosomal RNA
Rfam family: Bacterial small subunit ribosomal RNA
Source: RNAcentral